AUACGUAGGGGGCGAGCGUUGUCCGGAAUGAUUGGGCGUAAAGGGCGCGUAGGCGGCGCGGUAAGUCUGGAGUGAAAGUCCUGCUUUCAAGGUGGGAAUUGCUUUGGAUACUGCCGCGCUUGAGUGCAGGAGUGGUUAUCGGAAUUCCCGGUGUAGCGGUGAAAUGCGUAGAGAUCGGGAGGAACACCAGUGGCGAAGGCGGGUAACUGGACUGCAACUGACGCUGAGGCGCGAAAGUGUGGGGAGCAAACAGGAUUAGAUACCCUGGUAGUCCACACUGUAAACGAUGAAUGCUAGGUGUAAGAGGUAUCGACCCCUUUUGUGCCGGAGUCAACACAAUAAGCAUUCCGCCUGGGGAGUACGGCCGCAAGGUUGAAACUCAAAGGAAUUGACGGGG
RNAcentral lists this ribosomal RNA (397 nucleotides) under uncultured bacterium. RNAcentral's name for it is "partial 16S ribosomal RNA". It matches the Rfam family "Bacterial small subunit ribosomal RNA", at positions 523 to 918 of the family's 1533-position model. The record is from RNAcentral.